UGAGGGCGCCCUUAACAUCCUGAUAAUACAAACUCUAGAUAUGACGGAAUUCCAUCGUCCCAUAUAAUCAGAGGUCUUCCCAGAAACGCGAGGGCGCUUCCGUUUGCCAGACUACCUCAUCACUUGAUCUUCGUCGUCGGACUCACUCCGACGUCAGAAGGUUUCCCGUUCUCUUCCGCGCGCGCUCUGUGCCUCCAGCCAAACAUGUAAUACACAAGCUGAGACGCAGUGUGUUUCAUUCAGUUUCGGUGCUCCUGGUAAGACAAAUGGGCGUUGUGCUUUCAUGUCAGCGAAGCUUUGAAUGGACGAACUUCACAAUUUCCCCCACCUCGAACGACGCGCGUGAGAACUUGUUUAUAUGGCAGCUGAUGGAGGAAAGGAAGUCCGGGCUCCGGUUGCAAUCGUCUUCUAAUGCGCGAUUUCCAUCGCCGGCUUCCUGACUAGAACAAGUAGAUUCGUUCUCUCCUGCCUUCUCCUCCAUGGUCGGUGUCGCCUGUUGCUCUGGGCGAUCUGGAAAACUGGGACCGGCGAUUCAGAAAGUCUCGUCGCUCGUUUCGCGCCAAAACCAACGUUUGGACACUAUCUAUAACGCGGCUGCCUGCACACCGUCAU
This 612-nucleotide long non-coding RNA is filed under the name Micromonas commoda. RNAcentral describes it as "long non-coding RNA (MCOM_LNC000212)". Lineage: Eukaryota; Viridiplantae; Chlorophyta; Mamiellophyceae; Mamiellales; Mamiellaceae. The record is from RNAcentral.